RNAcentral lists this unclassified non-coding RNA (301 nucleotides) under plant metagenome. RNAcentral's name for it is "partial contains 5.8S ribosomal RNA, internal transcribed spacer 2, and large subunit ribosomal RNA". The stretch from base 1 to 103 matches the Rfam family "5.8S ribosomal RNA", at positions 52 to 154 of the family's 154-position model. The record is from RNAcentral.
AAUGCGAUAAGCAAUGUGAAUUUCAGAAUUCAGUGAAUCAUCGAAUCUUUGAACGCACAUUGCGCCCGCCAGUAUUCUGGCGGGCAUGCCUGUUCGAGCGUCAUUUCAACCAUCAAGCCCCGCGCUUGUGUUGGGGACCUGCGGCUGCCGCAGGCCCUGAAAACCAGUGGCGGGCUCGCUGUCACACCGGGCGUAGUAGAUUUUAUCUCGCUCAGGGCGUGCUGCGGGUUCCGGCCGUUAAAAAGCCUUUUUUACCCAAGGUUGACCUCGGAUCAGGUAGGAAGACCCGCUGAACUUAAGC